RNAcentral lists this long non-coding RNA (801 nucleotides) under Anser cygnoides (Swan goose). RNAcentral's name for it is "lncRNA (ENSACDG00005019168.1)". The record is from RNAcentral. Lineage: Eukaryota; Metazoa; Chordata; Aves; Anseriformes; Anatidae.
GAGGACUAUCACUAUCUCCUUCUUCCCGAACAUCAAGUAUACAUAAAAAGUGAUGAAAGUAAUGAGGAACCAUUAAAAAAAUAUAUAUCCUGUCACUGUUUUUCCAAUGGACGUCUCAGGUUGUCCUGGAUUAUUUCAGGAGAGAUUAAGACAUCUAAAAGUGGAAACUUGAUUUCCUGGCUUCUAAAGCUGUGAGAAGCAAUGAUUUUCUGGAGAAGAAAAAGAAAGUGCCAAGAAAAGGAGCUUUGGGCGCUUAAAUGCUACAACAACGCACUUUGGAAGCGUGAGGGAGCAGCCAGAGCCAUGCAAGUGCUGUUUGCUCUUCCUGCACGUACCGAGCUGGAGGCUCCCAGUCCCUGUGCCACUUCUCAGUUCCUGAGGGUUUCGCGCCUGCUGCCAGCUGUGCCCAGGGCUCCUGCUGUGUGCUGGAGCAAGUCCUUCGUCAGGCAUCGAGGGGAAGGACUUGGGAAGUUUCCAUAUCUGGGGCUGAGCCCCGAUGCCUGGUGUGCUGGAUUCACCAUACACCAGCAGCACGACGAUCAUCCACUUCAUUCCAAGCACCUGCCUGCCUGCCAAACAUCCUUGCUCUGCUCUGAUGACAGCCUCUGUGAUAGUUCCUGGGAAGCUGGUGCUCGCACGUGUGCCAGGGACUGGCUGGUGACUGCAAACAGAAUUCCCGUCUGGACCAACCCCCUGAAGAGCUGGGUCUGCUGCAGCUCCAGCUGCACAGUGGCUACAUCAAAGUCCAGGGAAGGAAGGCUGCCCUUGUGGUUGGUGGCUAAUGUUUGGCUACUGAACUGA